RNAcentral lists this long non-coding RNA (312 nucleotides) under Vombatus ursinus (common wombat). RNAcentral describes it as "lncRNA (ENSVURG00010024466.1)". The record is from RNAcentral. Lineage: Eukaryota; Metazoa; Chordata; Mammalia; Diprotodontia; Vombatidae.
UGAACCCAGAGCAACAAGAAUGGCUUCUUCAGUCUUUCAGAUGAUGAUGGCCAUAGGGCUGCUCACUUUGAUUCUUACUUCUUAUGCUGGUGACAACAAUUCCAACUCUGAUCAAAACAAGGACAAAGAAAUCUCAGAAAUGUUUUCAUUUCUGGGCAUGGGAAUUAUUGAAUCUGCGAUGGACUAUAUUCUCAACUCAAUGUUCAGGACCUCUGGAUAUAUGAAUUGGGGAAACAAGCAAGGAAAGACUCCAGGAAAAUGACUGGUAAGUUAAAGACUGAUUUUAACAUCUAACUUUCAAGCCUACAUAAA